UACGAAGGGGGCUAGCGUUGCUCGGAAUCACUGGGCGUAAAGGGUGCGUAGGCGGGUCUUUAAGUCAGGGGUGAAAUCCUGGAGCUCAACUCCAGAACUGCCUUUGAUACUGAGGAUCUUGAGUACGGGAGAGGUGAGUGGAACUGCGAGUGUAGAGGUGAAAUUCGUAGAUAUUCGCAAGAACACCAGUGGCGAAGGCGGCUCACUGGCCCGUUACUGACGCUGAAGCACGAAAGCGUGGGGAGCAAACAGG
This 253-nucleotide ribosomal RNA is filed under the name uncultured bacterium. RNAcentral's name for it is "partial 16S ribosomal RNA". It matches the Rfam family "Bacterial small subunit ribosomal RNA", at positions 524 to 776 of the family's 1533-position model. The record is from RNAcentral.